CCCUUAGAUGUUCUGGGCCGCACGCGCGCUACACUGAUGAAUUCAACGAGCUCCUAACCUAGGCCGAAGGGUCCGGGUAAUCUUUGAAAUUUCAUCGUGAUGGGGAUAGAUUAUUGCAAUUAUUAAUCUUCAACGAGGAGUUCCUAGUAAGCGCGAGUCAUCAGCUCGCGUUGAUUACGUCCCUGCCCUUUGUACACACCGCCCGUCGCUCCUACCGAUUGAAUGGUCCGGUGAAAUGUUCGGACCGCGACAAGGCGGACGGUUCGCUGUCAGCUUUGCUGCGGGAAGUUCAUUAAACCUUAUCAUUUAGAGGAAGGAGAAGUCGUAACA
This 330-nucleotide ribosomal RNA is filed under the name uncultured eukaryote. RNAcentral's name for it is "partial 18S ribosomal RNA". It matches the Rfam family "Eukaryotic small subunit ribosomal RNA", at positions 1470 to 1796 of the family's 1831-position model. The record is from RNAcentral.